This 485-nucleotide ribosomal RNA is filed under the name uncultured bacterium. Its description in RNAcentral is "partial 16S ribosomal RNA". It matches the Rfam family "Bacterial small subunit ribosomal RNA", at positions 28 to 523 of the family's 1533-position model. The record is from RNAcentral.
GAUGAACGCUAGCGGCAGGCCUAAUACAUGCAAGUCGAACGGUGUAGCAAUACAUAGUGGCGCACGGGUGCGUAACACGUAUGCAACCUACCUUAUACUGGGGGAUAGCCUUUGGAAACGGAGAUUAAUACCCCAUAGUACAUUUAGAUGGCAUCAUUUGAAUGUUAAAGAUUUAUCGGUAUAAGCUGGGCAUGCGUCCAAUUAGUUAGUUGGUGAGGUAACGGCUCACCAAGACUUUGAUUGGUAGGGGAACUGAGAGGUUAAUCCCCCACCCUGGCACUAAGAUACUGGCCAGACUCCUACGGGAGGCAGCAGUAGGGAAUAUUGGGCAAUGGAGGCAACUCUGACCCAGACAUGCCGCGUGCAGGAAGAAGGCGUUAUGCGUUGCAAACUUCUUUUAUAUAGGAAGAAAUAGUCCUUGCGAGGAAAGUUGACGGUACUAUAUGAAUAAGCACCGGCUAACUCCGUGCCAGCCGCCGCCGUAA